RNAcentral lists this ribosomal RNA (873 nucleotides) under Lecanora fuegiensis. RNAcentral describes it as "partial large subunit ribosomal RNA". It matches the Rfam family "Bacterial large subunit ribosomal RNA", at positions 878 to 1695 of the family's 2925-position model. The record is from RNAcentral. Lineage: Eukaryota; Fungi; Ascomycota; Lecanoromycetes; Lecanorales; Lecanoraceae.
CGGUAAUUUARAUGUAAUAUMAGAAGGUACAGAAUUGUGAUCUCAUACAACUAGUAUUUAUUUUGUUCUGUUUGCCUAGCAGCAAAACAAGAUAAAACGCUUUUUGUGGACAUUGGGGGGUCGUGAAGACUCUAUCAGUGAGUAUUUGUUCUCGGAAGGACUAGAUAUGAAUAUUGAAUAAUCGGACAUAGUACGAAAAGGUUGUAUGUCUAAAGGGAAACAGCCCAGAACAAGAGUUAAUAAGGUUCCAAAAUUUUUGUUAAGUGAAAUUAAGGCAGUAUUUAUCUCAAUCGGCCAGGGAAUAGGCUUAGAAGCGGCCAUUUUUUGAAGACCUCGUAACAGAGCACUGGUUUUGUUAUACGGAUAAAAGCACCUAAAAUUUAACGGAUCUAAACAAUAUACCGAGACCUUGUCCAUAUGUGCAUGUGUAUGUAUAUGUAUAUUGUAUACUGUAUGUAUGGGGUAGCGGAACAUUGGGUGUGUCUUAGAUUAUUUCUUUAUAAGAACUAAAAUUAAACAGCUCAAGAGAAAAUGCUGACAUGAGUAACGAUAAAGGGGAAUACCCUCGCCUAAAGCUUAUGGAAUUUAGAUAAAGUUACGGCCUCUAAGUUUAUUAUACCUUUUUUAAGUGUAAAAUAUUUUAUAUACCUUUAUAUAAUAAAAAGUCCCUAAAGGGGUAAACGAUGAGCAAAUCUACCUUUUUACUGAAAAUAACAUUUUUCUUUUCAUUAAGCUAUUUUAUGAUAAAUGUUAAAAGAUAAAAGGUGACAAAUGUUCUNGAAAACUGUAAAAAGCAUUUUUAAGAAAAUGAAAAUAUACCGUACCUAAAUACUAACACAAGUAAGCAAGUAGAGUAUACGAAGGCGCUCGAAG